This is a long non-coding RNA of Phragmites australis (common reed), 759 nucleotides long. RefSeq lists it as uncharacterized. The transcript has 3 exons. The record is from RefSeq and is a predicted model, not a curated record. NCBI's taxonomy places the organism in Eukaryota, Viridiplantae, Streptophyta, Magnoliopsida, Poales, Poaceae.
AGAACCUCUCGGAAUGAUAGUGCUGUUGCUGGUCUAACUGCUUCAAAAUCGAUUGCAGAGCAGAAAGUGCUUCAAUUGAUGCCAGAACUGCUUUAGGGCACUUGCAGAUGCAAAUAAUAGUGAAUUGCACGUCAGAUCAGCAGAUGCCUAACUUGAUUAUGUGGCAUCCUUUCCCCCAAGUUCGAGGAACGAACAAGCCUGACUGACUUGACUCUGAAGCUUUCAGGAAGUAAGAGGCUGUCAGGGGCCAGAGCUUGCGGCACUUGGAAGAAAAUGCUGAGACCAACUUGCUGCGUUGUCUGCUGGUCAUGUGAGUACUGAACGCGUGAACCUGCUCAUGUUGCAUCUUGUUCCAGCGGCAGCGAUCAGUUUAGUUCUACCAAGAACGUAUCUUUGGCGUCUGAAUUCUGAAUGUUUUCAGAAACUGAAUUCCCAAAAAUCACACAUGCUUAUUUACUCGUCCCUCGACGCGCUGGAACUCGUUUUGCAUGUGUAAUGCUGAAGAACAAUUGACCUGUACCGGUGCACCUGCGAGCUCCAAAUCUGGUCUUGUGUGCAGUGUGAUGUGAUGGUGAAAAGAAGUUGGUUGAAACGACCUGUUGAGCUCGAGUCGUAGUAGUAUCCUAUAAUGCAUGUGGGGAACAUGCUAAUGCUGCGUGCUUGCAUGUGUUCGUGUGUGUUCUUAGAGUGAAUUGCUGCUGUGUUUCAGUCAGCGUCAUUUUUGGCUGUUCUGAGAGUGAAUUGCUGCUGUGUUUCAGC